RNAcentral lists this ribosomal RNA (378 nucleotides) under uncultured bacterium. RNAcentral describes it as "bacterial SSU rRNA". It matches the Rfam family "Bacterial small subunit ribosomal RNA", at positions 521 to 896 of the family's 1533-position model. The record is from RNAcentral.
UAAGACGUAGGAGGCGAGCGUUAUCCGGAAUUAUUGGGCGUAAAGGGCGAGUAGGCGGCCGUCUAAGUCUGUGAUGAAAUCUCCCGGCUCAACUGGGAGGGAGUCACAGAAACUGGAAGGCUUGAGGGCAGCAGAGGGAGGUGGAAUUCCCGGUGUAGUGGUGAAAUACGUAGAUAUCGGGAGGAACACCAGUGGCGAAGGCGGCCUCCUGGGCUGCACCUGACGCUGAGGCGCGAAAGCGUGGGGAGCAAACAGGAUUAGAUACCCUGGUAGUCCACGCCGCAAACGAUGGACACUAGGUAUGGGGGGGUAUCGACCCCCUCCGUGCCGAAGCUAACGCUUUAAGUGUCCCGCCUGGGGAUUACGGCCGCAAGGCUA